CAUUUUCCGUUUUAAAUAUUCAAGAGCCGCCAUUUUGCAACAAUGGUAAUUUUAAUACUGAGAUCCCUAAAUGGCUACAAAUGUAAAGUUCUGAAAAAUGUGACUACACAUUCUACAAAUAGGCUGUCUCUGCAAAUUUGCUGGGGGAAAGAAUGAACAAAUUCCCAAAUUUCGACGGCCUUUCACAUUUGUCUCUUAUUCCUAAAACCUAUGUAGAUAUCAAGUUCUCAUAAUUGUGAAAGAACCGUCAGCUCGCUCAGAUAGGAUAAGGUGUGGUUGUAAUCUUUGCUUGUAUUGAUUGAAGCACAAAACUCUGACUUGUUACAUGAAAUGGUGGUCGUGAUUUCUAAACGAAUAGAUAGAUUUGGUCAAGUUCAGCGAGUCGUUGGACAUCUCUUUUGGUCAAGCAGUGUGGUUCAGUCUGUUUCUGAAGCAAAAGAUGAAAUUGAAACAAUUGCUAGGAUCAUCAAUGACCACCCUUUUCCUGUUCAGCCUCUGCAACCAAUGCUUAAACAUCAUAUCUCUCCAAGUGUCCUAUCUACCACGUUUGUUGAAAAUGUCCUUGGUCGCCUAUUUGCAGCACAUGCAAAUGGUCUUAAAGCAUAUGAAUUUUUUGAGUUCUGUCUCCGCCAUUCUGAGUAUAGUCCGACCUCUGAUGCAUUUGAAAAGACACUUCAUGUACUAGCAAGAAUGCGUUACUUUGAUAAAGGCUGGGAACUAAUGAAGAAAAUUCACCAGCUACAACCGUCGUUGCUCACCCUUAAGUCAAUGAGCAUCAUGCUAUCAAGAAUAGCAAAAUAUCAGUCCUAUGAAGAUACCCUUGAAGCAUUUGAGAAGAUGGAGCAACAUUUAUUCCCCGGGAAGAAAUUUGGCACCGAAGAGUUCAAUAUUCUUCUUCGAGCAUUUUGCACGCAGAGGCAGAUGAAAGAAGCUCGUUCAGUAUUCAACAAACUCCAUUCUAGGUUCCCACCUGAUACCAAGACAAUGAAUAUCUUGCUUUUGGGGUUCAAGGAAUCAGGGGAUAUUACCGCGGUAGAGUUAUUUUACCAUGAGAUGGUUAAAAGAGGUUUUAAGCUUAAUUGCGUAACAUACAGUAUAAGAAUUGAUGCAUACUGCAAAAAAGGUCGUCUUGGUGAUGCUUUGAAGCUAUUUGAAGAAAUGGAUAAGGUAAAUUGCUUGCCUACAAUAGAAACGAUAACAACUUUGAUUCAUGGAGCAGGGAUUGCUCAUAAUAUAACUAAAGCCAAAGAACUCUUCGAUGAAAUCUUCAAGAGAAAUUUGCAACCAGAUACUGGAGCCUAUAAUGCCCUCUUGAGUUCACUUAGCAAAUCUAGGGAUGUUAAAUCUGCUGCAGUCUUAAUGGAUGAGAUGGAGGAGAAAAAUAUUGAGUUUGACUAUUUAACUUACCACACUAUGUUUUGGGGAUUUAUAAGAUCAAAUGAUGUUGGUGGUGUCAUUGCUCUUUAUGAAAGGAUGAUCAACAGAAAUUUCUUGCCUAAGGCACGUACGGUUGUGACUCUGAUGAAAUUCUUCUGUGGAAACGACAGAGUUGAUCUGGGUUUGAGUUUAUGGAAUUACCUGAUGGAUAAAGGGAACUGUCCACACUGCCAUUCCUUGGAAAUUCUGGUCACAGGAUUGUGUUCCCGUGGGAGAGUUGAAGAAGCAUUUGAGUGCUCUGAGGAAAUGUUGAAGAGGGGUAGGCACAUGAGCGAGCUAGUGUUUCAAAUGUUGAAGAGGUCUCUCUUACAGCUAGGAGAGGAGGAAAAGUUACAGAAGCUGUACCAAAUGACAAAGAAAUUAGAAACGAUAUUGCCUCCUUAUGGACAAACUAUUGGGCACAGCCUAGGUGCAGAUCUGUAGGUAAGGUGAAUAAAGUCACUUGCUUGAUGUAUUUGAUUCUAUGCUGGGUUGAGAUGUUGUGGCACUUUUGUCUCAAUUCUCUUUUGUAUGCAGGGUUGAGAUGUUGUGGCACUUUUGUCUCAAUUCUCUUUUGGCACACAUAUCUUUUGAUCGCAUAAUGGUGGCUGAUCUAUUCUUUCUAUUUAUACGUCUUAAAAAGCUAAUUGUUCUUCUCUUUCUUAAUUUUCUUGGAUAGGAGUUUUUCCUGUUAAAGAGGUUUGCUAUUCUGUUUAGUCCUUACCUCCUUAUUUUAUAGAUCUACGGAAGUUACUUUGAUAGCUUACCUUAAUAUAGGACACAUCAUGCAGUGCUACAUGAGAUGCAUAUAGCUGUUAGAAAGCUACAUUUUGGCAGUGCCAUCUAAAAGUACCACCUCUGAAAGGUGUCUAGUUGUCAUGAAACGAAUACUGAUUGCGGUGCUACAUGAAAUGCAUAACACUGUUAGAAAGCAACAUUUUGACAGUGCUGUCUAAAAGUGCAGCCUCUGAAAGUUGGCAUGGAAGGAAUAAUGACCUCUUCUGUACUUCUUUGCAUACUAGGAUCCCAUCACAAGUAACUGCAAAAGAUCUAAAUACUGAAAGGCUGAGAUAACUCAGAGGCUUAGCAAUGGCAGUGUCAUUGUGCUCUUGUCAGAUGAGUUGAACUCUAUACUAAGAAAUCGAUUUGUUACCGGCCUUCCCUGGUUUUCUUGCUCUUUCCUUCUUGUGCUCUCUUUUGCCAUUUUUUUCUUGUUCUUUUCUUUCUUAACAUGCUUAGUAACUGGGGAAUGGGUAUGGAAAGAAACGUUUUGAGUCCUUUAAAAUAUAAGUGUUUUGCGGAGAAAUUUUGACUUUUUGAGAAGAGUCGCCACUUAAUUUUGAAAAGGAAUUAAGAAACUUUUAGAGAGUUACUUCAAACGAUUCAAAACAGAAAAAUCGUUUUAAGUUUUGAAGAUUCCGAGUAAGUAAUUCCUAUUAACGUUUUAGGAAGGUGUUAGGCACCUAAAACGUUCGCUAAUUUGCGGUUAUCCGAACUGUUUAAAAAUCGUCUUUGAUUAACCUUGAAAAUGUUGGUUUUUGAAAAGAAAAGCGAUUUUAGGAAUAUUUUGGUGUCUAUGCAAAACCAAUUUUUAGCGAAAACACAUAAAAACAAAUUAGCAAAAGUAAGGGAAAGGGUAGAAGCAGAAGGACUUGAGUCAUUAGGCGAAAAUCGACAACCCUGUCCUAAUCUAGAUAUUGGGCUUUCAGCCCGUCUUCGACCUGUCCUAAUUCUAUGUUUUCGAGCCUUUAGCUUGAGUCUCGCUUCACCUGUAUUAAGUACAACUUUGACUUCGAGGCCCAAAUGAAUACAUAAGGAAAUAAAUAAAUAAAUGAAUAAAUAAAUAAAUGAAGACGACAAUAAGUAAAUAAACCAAAAUAAUAAAUGAGACUUUGGGGGUCUCGUAGCCGCUUCAAGAACGGGACUUUAACCCGUUUUCCUUUCGACUCCUUGCAACUUCGUAUGCCAUGCGAUGGAUUCUUGGAUUUUUCUUUUGGGCUUGAUUCAAUGAGACGGGCAAUGGCCCAUUAAGGAAAUGCAAGAAACAAGCCCGUUUGGACUCCGAGGUAUAUUCAUGCAAAGAAAGGAAAAGACAAAAGAGCGAAUUAAUGUAUAUUCUCAAAAAUUCUAUACUUGUAAAUGAAUUAUGUGAUGAAGAAGACAACAUUUUAAACAAAAGAACACACCAAUUCACUUACUACAUAUAGACACAUGAAACCAUAAAAUUUAUAUGAACUCUAGGAAUAUGAAACACAUGGCUUGCAAGGUUGAAGAAGAACUUUCAUUGACUAAUGAUUUCCAAACAAACAAUAGGAUAAGGUAAAAUAGGAAAUUCUCACAAUUGCAAGCAAACAACGUUAACAGAUUGUGUAUUAAGGUUAUAGGAGACUUUGGUGACUCAAAAGUAUAAACUAAAAGACUUAAGAAAGAACUUGUAACUUUCAACGGAAUAAAGAAACUUGUAAAAUAUUUCUUUACCCUGGUUUGACAUCUUUUGUCAAUAGGAGCCUUAAGAAUGAGAAAGGCCAUGACCAACUGAUACAAGGAACCAAAACAAACAUAAAAAUACAAUAAAAUAAAAAAGGACAGUGAAUCAGGCCAUAGUGUUCAAGCACACGUCUGCAAUGAGUUUAUAACUAGCAACGAGAAGAGAAAGAAAAGCCUAGUGUCACAGCAAUUUCGUUAGUAAAGUUUGGAACAUAAGUCACAAAACUAAAUCAUUAAACUUGUUAUUAGGCCGAGGAAUACUAAAUCAAAGGGAGGUUGUACAUGAAUUCUACAUCAAACAAGGAUAGCACUGAAACGGGGAUCAAACUUAAUAAUGAAAAGUAUGAAAUCGCGACGUGAAAUAGGCUGGGUAAAAGAAAACAGAAUCUUCACGAUAUGCUAAACAAGUUUUAGUAGUUAAUAAAUAAUAUUAUCAUGACACAGUACUCACUAAGUCGCACCACAAUUCGUUUUAUCUUAAAGGAACCUGACUAUUUCGAGGACCCAAUGGCCCAUUUUUUUUGAAAAUAGGUAUUAGCGUGUCCUUCGUCAACUUAAAUGACACACACUUUCCUCAAGCCAUUUACGCCCGUUUAGGCCUUAUGACAGCAGAGAAACCCAAAAGAAAAACGUAGCACAAACUUGAAACCACAAAAUUCAAUUCUAAUGCGAAAUCGACGAAAAGGCGUGGACUUUAACCCCUUUUUAGAACAGGAUAUUAGCAACAAUCUUUAGGCUAGAAGCUCAUCAUUCAAGCAAUAAAGCAUACACGAAGCCGAAUUCAAGGAAAUUUUCAUCAAAAGAAAAAAAAAGAAACAUUGUAUGAGCAAAAAAGUAAAUGCUCCCAGAUGAAUCCUAACAAAAUCAGAAGUUCUGAAAAUCAAUAUGUCCUAAAUGCGGAAACGACAACGAAGUUCGAAAGCUCACAAUUUAUAUGAAACCUGGGGCUUUCAUAGCCUCCUAGCGAGCUACACCCAGUACUCAAGAUUAUAAAACUACAACUACGAACAGGGCAACAAGGGGAUGAAAAUUAUUAAGCGAUAAUCACAACAUGAUCUUCAACUACUUCAAACAACAGACAGUCGACAAAAUGAUUCAUUAGGAGGACAAUUAAUCAGUAACGCCAAGAAUAGAUGACCAAUCACAGAAUCGAGACAAAGACGAUGAUGGCACAUAUCAGACAAUCAAGGCAGAAAUUAAUCCUAAUGUCGCAAUACAAACAACAUCAUCAUUCGCAAAAAGAGCAACCUAUGAUCUUUAAAACUUUCUCCAGCAACAAAUUCCCAGCGUAUUACUGUUAAAGUAUUAAUAACCAAAGAACGACUAAUAUGGAGAAAUGAGAUGAACGAGAAAGUGACAAUAAAACUAGAAGGGAGAGAUAUGUUUACCUCUUUCGGGGUAGAAAACGGGAUGACGAGCUAUAAGCAAAAUCGUCGCUACCGAAAUCUCGUGACGUCGACCACCAACAGAGCGUCCCUUCGCUUUUCCUCUUAGAAAUUUCGAAACUAGCUUGGAGAGAAGAGAGAAGAGCCCCCCAAAACUUCUAUGAAAGAACCCUAACCCCCCAGACUUUCUAAAACCCCUUUUCCUCGGCUCUCUAUGAGCCUUUUUAUAGAAGGGGUUGAGGGCAUUCCAGGGAUUUUCGAAAAUAUCCCAUUUCAAAUUCGAAACCCUCCCUCCAGCUCCAUUUUGCCCUCAAUUUGUACCUCUUCUGGAAUCGAUGUACCACUAGGGUUUGGGGAAAACGGAUUCUUUCCCAAAACCAAUGGAAAUUAGCCAAAUAAUGUACGAAAACGUACGAGUACCCUGAAAUUUGCUGAAUUUAUCCGUUGAAGGGACACCUACACAUCUUCUAGAGGAUUCUCGGAACCCCCGUGGUACGAACCCAUAUGCUACUCACGUGGGGAGUACGAUCGGAGUAAGGGAGAGGAGAAAUAGGGUAUUUUGUCGGGUCGAAGCUGAUUGGAAUCGGGUUGGAGCUGAAGUUGUUCGUGGGUUCCUGGUGAUUAUCGAUGGUGUUGCUGUUUUGGAGGAGAAGAGGGAUCUUAGGUGGGCUGGUUCAGCCGGUAUGGAUUGGGCUUGGGACGGUCAGUUAUUAAUUUGGGCUGCUAACAUUAGGGAAUUGGGCCUGGGGGUAGUGCUGAUUAAGUUGGGUGUUAAAUGGAGCUAAGGUUGGAUGGUUGUUGGACUGGGCUUGGGUAUGGAGUGGGUUGAUGAUUAAGCUUGAAUUGGAUUAUUUGGUUUCUAAUUGGGUAAUUUCUUGGGUAUCAUUUAAAAAAUAACCCCUAAUUAAAUUUGGGGUUAUUCAAAAAGAUAAUUUCGAUUUUAAUUGAGCCUAUCCUAUUUGAAUUUCGACCAAAUUGAAAGUUAAUUAGCCAAGUACAUCGCAAUUGUGGCCACUUUAACUUCACUUAUGAUCAAAUUUCACAGGAUGGUCAAAUUAGAUCGAAAUUUGACACGAAUCAAUACUUCUUUCAAUCCCAAGCUUCUUGAUUCGAUAAAAUUGAAUCAAUAUUUCUCCAAAUAUAUUAUUUUUUCAGAAUAAUCAUAUUUAAAUCAAGACUUCAACUGUUUGAACUUAUUUUCAAAAUAAUCUUUGAUUAAAAUCCGAUAUUAUUUAAGUGACAAAACUACAUAAUUUCGUAUAAUGGAAUACAAUAAUGUAUAAUCGUCACUCAAAAUGACAAACUUGCCCAGGUGAAUAUUCUUUUGAAAAAGUUCUAUUCAAUAAAUAUUUCGAUUUUAUUGAAACCGAAGAAGCUCGAAAUUAAUCUUGAUUAGGGAGGGCAAAAAUUAGGUGUCAACAGCAAGGAGAUUGUAAAAAUAUCCAAAUGUUUUUUGGUUCUGUGAUAGCUAAGAAACUCUGGCAAACUCAUGUCCCCGUGGAAUUUGGUAAAACUAAAAUUUGCAAAGAGUUGUGUCCGGGCAUUAAUAUUAAGCUUCUGCAAUACAGGGACUUCCCCAACUAUCUACUUGGGACUCCCAUUGGGGGCUAGCUGCAGAUCUGUUGAGAUAUGGAAUGGGAUGGUUGAAAAGUUUGAGAAAACGCCGGCCACCUGGCAACAACAACCUCUUUCUUGGAGACAGAAUUACUUUGAUUAACAAUGUGUUAUACAACAUUCUGACUUAUUUCAUGUCCUUAUUCCCUGUACCAGAUGAAAUAUUGCAGAAGCUUGAUAGCAUUAGUUCAUUCUUUUGGGAUGGCAAUAACGAGUCCCACAAACUUCACUUAAUGAAAUGGGAGAAGGUUGCUAUCCCAAGAUCACUUGGUGGACUAGGAGUCAAGGACCUGGCUACAUAGCAAAAGCAUGCUCUUUAAAUGGCAUUGGAGGUAUAAUCAAGAGGGCAUGGGACUUAGGAAGGAAGUGAUCCAAGCUUAAUGUGGACAUGAUAGCCAUUGGGUUACUGAGCCUAGUAGAUUACUUCAUGAUUGUGGAUUGUGGAAAGGAAUCAGGAAAUUGUGGACUGAUUUCACUUCUAAAACAACUCUACAGGUAGGAAUGGGUAGUGGGAACCACAUCCUCUCUGGAAAAGACCCUUGGCUUGGUCAGAAUCUAUUGAAGGAGCUCUACCCCAUGAUAUUAUCUAUUGCCUCUGAUCCUGAUUCCACUGUCUCACAAAAUUGGGAGGGGCGCACUUGGUGUCCUAGACUGAGAAGGGACCUGAAUGAUUGGGAGUUUGAUGCACUUGCAGCACUUAUGGGAAGAUUACUCUACUGCUGUCAAUCCCCUGAAAAAAGACAUGCUCAAAUGGGGCAACAACAUGGAUAGUUCCUACUUGGUCAAAGUCAAUUACCAACUUUUGAGUUCCAACAUAACUGUAAUUGAUCAGUGGCCAUGAAGCUAAUAUGGAAGGUCAAAUCGCUCCCCAAGAUUAGUGCUUUUUGCUUGCUAGCUCUGAAAAAUUCAUGCCACUUUAGACAACCUCAACUGAAGAGGAUUCAGCUCAGCCAACAGGAUGCUAUAUGUAUUUAAACAGUGUAGAAACUGUCAACCACCUUUUAUUGCACUGCCCUAUUGCUAUAGACAUCCGGUCAGUGUUCUCCCUUUUUGGUCUUCAGUGGGUUAUGCCUAAGAGUUUCAGAGAAGGUUGUCAGCUGGAGCAAUUGGAAAUUUGAGAAGUCUUUCAGAAGAUUAUGGUCUAUGGUUCCUGCUGUUGUUUUGUGGGAUGUUCUGAUGGCGUCUCAACUAACAGCUCCAAUUUCAAGGGCAUAUGUUAAGUCUUACUUUUUAGUUGGGUUAACCUUACACCUUUGUAUAAACAUGAACAAUUCUUGGAUUUUGUCAGCUCUCUUGUAUUAUGAUAGGUUUUGUGUUUGCCCUCUCUAGAGCUGACUGUUCCUACUUUUGUAAAUCUUUCAUCCUCUCGAUGCUUUGUUGUUAAUCCACUUCUUGCUUGCUCUCAAAAAAAAAAAAAGCUUCUAAACUCUCCACUUUCUCA
This is an RNA transcript of Capsicum annuum, 8343 nucleotides long. It is a transcript of the gene named pentatricopeptide repeat-containing protein At3g61360, with no coding region annotated. The transcript has 3 exons. NCBI's taxonomy places the organism in Eukaryota, Viridiplantae, Streptophyta, Magnoliopsida, Solanales, Solanaceae. The record is from RefSeq and is a predicted model, not a curated record.